RNAcentral lists this long non-coding RNA (353 nucleotides) under Volvox carteri. Its description in RNAcentral is "long non-coding RNA (VCAR_LNC001830)". Lineage: Eukaryota; Viridiplantae; Chlorophyta; Chlorophyceae; Chlamydomonadales; Volvocaceae. The record is from RNAcentral.
CUGCUGCUGUGCGUCCUGCUCCUCCUCGUCCUCUUCGCACUGCUGGAGAAUCAGCUCAAUCUCAUCCGCCACUGCACUGUGGUUGCCCUGCAAACCCGCGUUGCCAUGGAUGUAAACAAUCUUCUCCGCCCGCUCAAUGGCCAGCCGAUUGCGUGCUUUUGUGUAAACCAGGCCCCAUGUGGAUCAGUUGCACUAGGACGAGCAGGUUGAUGUGUGCAUCAGCAGCAAGUGAAUGGCUGCAGAUGCAAUCCGCGGGAAUUGUGAGGCGAGGUGCACUUCCCAGUAGCUGAUACAGUCAUCCAGUGACGCCCCCAUCGCACGGAUGCUGCCAUCAGGCAACAAUUUCUCCUUGC